GGCCCUGACAUGGGUCCAGGACUGGUGACACCCUAAUUUAAGUCCUGGGUAGGACCAGGCAGAUCAGGUGGCUCAGAGCUAGCACAAUAGACUGUGAGGGGAAGCCGCACUCCCUGAUCAGGGCAGAUCAGGAGGAUUCCAAGUGUAAUUGGCCUCCAGGGAGUAUGUAAGUCACUCUUGUACACCCCCUCAGACCUCCUUAAUGCCUUGCCAGCUGGAAGGAAAAGAGCCUCUUGCAUUGCCCACAAAGGAAGCAGAGAUUGAGGGGAGAAGAACUGGAGAAAUUAAAAAAGUGGAAAGAGACAGCAACACAAAUAAAGAGGUUGAGUACCAGUAGAAACCUCAUAUUUACCUGGAAGAUUACUUUUAGGAAGCUUGAAGAAUUCUCUCUUCCAACUUGGUUAAUCUGAGUUCUGUGGCACCUACAAGAGAAAUGGCUGCUUAUAUGUGACAACCUGCAGAUCUGAGCAGCAGGGGAACAAAGGCAGGGCCAACACAAUGGCACUGGUCCCGUUGAGUCCUGGGGAGUCCUCAGCUUUCAGGAGUCCCCUGAAUAUGGGGCAACCCCACAGGUCUGAAAUACUACACUUUGACUAAAAAUCUUAAUGUUGGGCUGGAAGAGAUGAACUUCUAGGGCUGGUAGAAGGAGUUGAGAAUGAGGUGGC
Molecule: long non-coding RNA, 665 nt
Filed under: Homo sapiens (human)
Lineage: Eukaryota; Metazoa; Chordata; Mammalia; Primates; Hominidae
Description: HSALNT0091547
Source: RNAcentral